UGGGGAAUAUUGCGCAAUGGCCGAAAGGCUGAGGCAGCGACGCCGCGUGGGGGAUGAAGCAUUUCGGUGUGUAAACCCCUGUUGCCCGGGACGAACAAGCGAUUUUGAUCGCUCUGACGGGACCGGGUGAGGAAGCACCGGCUAACUCCGUG
RNAcentral lists this ribosomal RNA (152 nucleotides) under uncultured bacterium. Its description in RNAcentral is "partial 16S ribosomal RNA". It matches the Rfam family "Bacterial small subunit ribosomal RNA", at positions 355 to 507 of the family's 1533-position model. The record is from RNAcentral.